UAGCUAGUUGGUGAGGUAACGGCCCACCAAGGCGACGAUCGGUAGCCGGACUGAGAGGUUGAACGGCCACAUUGGGACUGAGACACGGCCCAGACUCCUACGGGAGGCAGCAGUGGGGAAUAUUGCACAAUGGGGGAAACCCUGAUGCAGCGACGCCGCGUGGAGGAAGAAGGUCUUCGGAUUGUAAACUCCUGUUGUUGAGGAAGAUAAUGACGGUACUCAACAAGGAAGUGACGGCUAACUACGUGCCAGCAGCCGCGGUAAAACGUAGGUCACAAGCGUUGUCCGGAAUUACUGGGUGUAAAGGGAGCGCAGGCGGGCGAUCAAGUUGGAAGUGAAAUCCAUGGGCUCAACCCAUGAACUGCUUUCAAAACUGGUCGUCUUGAGUAGUGCAGAGGUAGGCGGAAUUCCCGGUGUAGCGGUGGAAUGCGUAGAUAUCGGGAGGAACACCAGUGGCGAAGGCGGCCUACUGGGCACCAACUGACGCUGAGGCUCGAAAGUGUGGGUAGCAAACAGGAUUAGAUACCCUGGUAGUCCACACCGUAAACGAUGAUUACUAGGUGUUGGGAGAUUGACCCUCUCAGUGCCGCAGUUAACACAAUAAGUAAUCCACCUGGGGAGUACGACCGCAAGGUUGAAACUCAAAGGAAUUGACGGGGGCCCGCACAAGCAGUGGAGUAUGUGGUUUAAUUCGACGCAACGCGAAGAACCUUACCAAGUCUUGACAUCCUCUGACGAACGUAGAAAUACGUUUUCUCUUCGGAGCAGAGAGACAGGUGGUGCAUGGUUGUCGUCAGCUCGUGUCGUGAGAUGUUGGGUUAAGUCCCGCAACGAGCGCAACCCUUAUGGUCAGUUACUACGCAAGAGGACUCUGGCCAGACUGCCGUUGACAAAACGGAGGAAGGUGGGGAUGACGUCAAAUCAUCAUGCCCUUUAUGACUUGGGCUACACACGUACUACAAUGGCGUUAAACAAAGAGAAGCAAGACCGCAAGGUGGAGCAAAACUCAGAAACAACGUCCCAGUUCGGACUGCAGGCUGCAACUCGCCUGCACGAAGUCGGAAUUGCUAGUAAUCGUGGAUCAGCAUGCCACGGUGAAUACGUUCCCGGGCCUUGUACACACCGCCCGUCACACCAUGAGAGCCGGGGGGACCCGAAGUCGGUAGUCUAACCGCAAGGAGGACGCCGCCGAAGGUAAAACUGGUGAUUGGGGUGAAGUCGUAACAAGGUAA
Molecule: ribosomal RNA, 1232 nt
Filed under: metagenome
Description: bacterial SSU rRNA
Rfam family: Bacterial small subunit ribosomal RNA
Source: RNAcentral